RNAcentral lists this ribosomal RNA (100 nucleotides) under Notechis scutatus (mainland tiger snake). Lineage: Eukaryota; Metazoa; Chordata; Lepidosauria; Squamata; Elapidae. The record is from RNAcentral.
AUUUACUUAGCUGGCCUUAUAUGAUCUUGAAAGCUAAACAGGAUUAGGCCUGCUUAGUAUUCAGAUGGGAGAUUUCUAAGGAAUACCAGGCCUGUAGAUU